AAACUGACCUCAAAUCAGGUGGACA
Molecule: ribosomal RNA, 25 nt
Filed under: Hybogaster giganteus
Lineage: Eukaryota; Fungi; Basidiomycota; Agaricomycetes; Russulales
Description: partial 28S ribosomal RNA
Source: RNAcentral